AUUGAACGCUGGCGGCAGGCCUAACACAUGCAAGUCGAGCGGUAGAGAGAAGCUUGCUUCUCUUGAGAGCGGCGGACGGGUGAGUAAUGCCUAGGAAUCUGCCUGGUAGUGGGGGAUAACGUUCGGAAACGGACGCUAAUACCGCAUACGUCCUACGGGAGAAAGCAGGGGACCUUCGGGCCUUGCGCUAUCAGAUGAGCCUAGGUCGGAUUAGCUAGUUGGUGAGGUAAUGGCUCACCAAGGCGACGAUCCGUAACUGGUCUGAGAGGAUGAUCAGUCACACUGGAACUGAGACACGGUCCAGACUCCUACGGGAGGCAGCAGUGGGGAAUAUUGGACAAUGGGCGAAAGCCUGAUCCAGCCAUGCCGCGUGUGUGAAGAAGGUCUUCGGAUUGUWAAGCWCUUUAAGUUGGGAGGAAGGGCCAUUACCUAAUACGUGAUGGUUUGACGUACCGACAG
RNAcentral lists this ribosomal RNA (459 nucleotides) under Pseudomonas sp. R-41946. RNAcentral describes it as "bacterial SSU rRNA". It matches the Rfam family "Bacterial small subunit ribosomal RNA", at positions 30 to 484 of the family's 1533-position model. Lineage: Bacteria; Pseudomonadati; Pseudomonadota; Gammaproteobacteria; Pseudomonadales; Pseudomonadaceae. The record is from RNAcentral.